UACGUAGGGUGCAAGCGCUAAUCGGAAUUACUGGGCGUAAAGCGUGCGCAGGCGGUUGUGCAUGACCGAUGUGAAAUCCCCGGGCUUGACCUGGGAAUGGCAUUGGUGACUGUACGGCUAGAGUGUGUCAGAGGGGGGUAGAAUUCCACGUGUAGCAGUGAAAUGCGUAGAGAUGUGGAGGAAUACCGAUGGCGAAGGCAGCCCCCUGGGAUAACACUGACGCUCAUGCACGAAAGCGUGGGGAGCAAACAGG
This 253-nucleotide ribosomal RNA is filed under the name uncultured bacterium. Its description in RNAcentral is "partial 16S ribosomal RNA". It matches the Rfam family "Bacterial small subunit ribosomal RNA", at positions 524 to 776 of the family's 1533-position model. The record is from RNAcentral.